RNAcentral lists this ribosomal RNA (245 nucleotides) under uncultured bacterium. RNAcentral describes it as "partial small subunit ribosomal RNA". It matches the Rfam family "Bacterial small subunit ribosomal RNA", at positions 26 to 286 of the family's 1533-position model. The record is from RNAcentral.
AGAAUCAACGCUGGCGGCGUGCCUAACACAUGCAAGUCGAACGAGAAAGGGUAGCAAUACCUGAGUAAAGUGGCGCACGGGUGAGUAACACGUGACUAACCUACCCUGGAGUGGGGGAUAACUGAGGGAAAACCUUAGCUAAUACCGCAUAACACCUACGGGUCAAAGGAGCAAUUCGCUUCAGGAGGGGUCGCGGCCGAUUAGUUAGUUGGCGGGUAAUGGCCCACCAAGACAGUGAUCGGUAU